RNAcentral lists this transfer RNA (69 nucleotides) under Aphidius gifuensis. RNAcentral's name for it is "tRNA-Gln". The record is from RNAcentral. Lineage: Eukaryota; Metazoa; Arthropoda; Insecta; Hymenoptera; Braconidae.
UAUAUUUUAAUGUAAUAAGCAUAAAAAUUUUUGAAAUUUUUAGAAAUAGUUUAAUUCUAUUAUAUAUAU